ACAUCCAGAGAAUUUAGCAGAGAUGCUUUAGUGCCUUCGGGAACUCUGAGACAGGUGCUGCAUGGCUGUCGUCAGCUCGUGUUGUGAAAUGUUGGGUUAAGUCCCGNAACGAGCGCAACCCUUAUCCUUUGUUGCCAGCACGUAAUGGUGGGAACUCAAAGGAGACUGCCGGUGAUAAACCGGAGGAAGGUGGGGAUGACGUCAAGUCAUCAUGGCCCUUACGAGUAGGGCUACACACGUGCUACAAUGGCGCAUACAAAGAGAAGCGACCUCGCGAGAGCAAGCGGACCUCAUAAAGUGCGUCGUAGUCCGGAUUGGAGUCUGCAACUCGACUCCAUGAAGUCGGAAUCGCUAGUAAUCGUAAAUCAGAAUGUUACGGUGAAUACGUUCCCGGGCCUUGUACACACCGCCCGUCACACCAUGGGAGUGGGUCGCAAAAGAAGUAGAUAGCUUAACCUUCGGGAGGGCGUUUACCACUUUGUGAUUCAUGACUGGGGUGAAGUCGUAACAAGGUAAGCGUAGUGCU
This 526-nucleotide ribosomal RNA is filed under the name uncultured bacterium. RNAcentral describes it as "bacterial SSU rRNA". It matches the Rfam family "Bacterial small subunit ribosomal RNA", at positions 984 to 1509 of the family's 1533-position model. The record is from RNAcentral.